GUGGGGAGCAAACAGGAUUAGAUACCCUGGUAGUCCACGCCCUAAACGAUGUCGACUAGUUGUCGGGGAUUCACUUCUUCGGUAACGCAGCUAACGCGUGAAGUCGACCGCCUGGGGAGUACGGUCGCAAGAUUAAAACUCAAAGGAAUUGACGGGGACCCGCACAAGCGGUGGAUGAUGUGGAUUAAUUCGAUGCAACGCGAAAAACCUUACCUACCCUUGACAUGCCAGGAACCUCGCAGAGAUGUGAGGGUGCUCGAAAGAGAGCCUGGACACAGGUGCUGCAUGGCUGUCGUCAGCUCGUGUCGUGAGAUGUUGGGUUAAGUCCCGCAACGAGCGCAACCCUUGUCACUAGUUGCUACGAAAGGGCACUCUAGUGAGACUGCCGGUGACAAACCGGAGGAAGGUGGGGAUGACGUCAAGUCCUCAUGGCCCUUAUGGGUAGGGCUUCACACGUCAUACAAUGGCCGGUACAGAGGGUUGCCAACCCGCGAGGGGGAGCCAAUCCCAGAAAACCGGUCGUAGUCCGGAUUGCAGUCUGCAACUCGACUGCAUGAAGUCGGAAUCGCUAGUAAUCGCGGAUCAGCAUGUCGCGGUGAAUACGUUCCCGGGUCUUGUACACACCGCCCGUCACACCAUGGGAGUGGGUUUCACCAGAAGCCGUUUGCCUAACCGCAAGGAGGGCGGCGACCACGGUGAGAUUCAUGACUGGGGUG
This 716-nucleotide ribosomal RNA is filed under the name uncultured bacterium. RNAcentral describes it as "bacterial SSU rRNA". It matches the Rfam family "Bacterial small subunit ribosomal RNA", at positions 761 to 1482 of the family's 1533-position model. The record is from RNAcentral.